RNAcentral lists this ribosomal RNA (460 nucleotides) under uncultured bacterium. RNAcentral's name for it is "partial 16S ribosomal RNA". It matches the Rfam family "Bacterial small subunit ribosomal RNA", at positions 338 to 795 of the family's 1533-position model. The record is from RNAcentral.
CCUACGGGGGACAGCAGUGAGGAAUAUUGGUCAAUGGGCGCGAGCUUGAACCAGCCAAGUCGCGUGAGGGAGGACGGCCCUACGGGUUGUAAACCUCUUUUGCCGGGGAGCAACGGGCGCCACGUGUGGUGUCACUGAGAGUACCCGGAGAAAAAGCAUCGGCUAACUCCGUGCCAGCAGCCGCGGUAAUACGGAGGAUGCGAGCGUUAUCCGGAUUUAUUGGGUUUAAAGGGUGCGUAGGCGGAUCGUUAAGUCAGUGGUCAAAUUGAGGGGCUCAACCCCUUCCCGCCAUUGAAACUGGCGUUCUUGAGUGGAAGAGAAGUAGGCGGAAUGCGUGGUGUAGCGGUGAAAUGCAUAGAUAUCACGCAGAACCCCGAUUGCGAAGGCAGCAUGCCGGCUUCCGACUGACGCUGAAGCACGAAAGCGUGGGGAUCGAACAGGAUUAGAUACCCGUGUAGUC